This 2192-nucleotide unclassified non-coding RNA is filed under the name Apis florea (little honeybee). Its description in RNAcentral is "uncharacterized LOC100872285, transcript variant X1". The record is from RNAcentral. Lineage: Eukaryota; Metazoa; Arthropoda; Insecta; Hymenoptera; Apidae.
CAUUGAAUGUAACUGCAUUUAUCAGAUUGAUCUCUUCCUCUCUGAAAAGAAGGAUAUUCAAGAAGAUAUUGCUUUUGGAACAAGUGUUUCUAUAAUUUUACAAUACUGCAAAUGUGCAUACAUUUAGUAUUUCAGAUAUAUGGAGGACAGUGUCUUGAUAUAUUUGAGAUUCCUUAUUACAAAUCAUUGAAGAAAUGGUUAACAUUAUCAGGAUUAUAUCCACUUAGAAAUACUAUUAUAAUUUUAGUGGUGAUUUCCAUUAUAAGCGUUACUCUGCCAUUGAUAUUCGCAAUAUACACAUCAUUAUGUGCAAAAAAUAUAGAUGCUAUGCUUGAAUGCUUACCGCCUUUAGGUGUAUGCGUAGUUGCUAUGUUUAAACUACAAAAUAUAUAUAACAACAGUGAAAACUUCAAAAAAUUAUUUACAUUUGUGGCAAAACAAUGGCAUCAGUUGAAAUUAAACAAUGAAAUACGAGUCUUGGAAGAAAUCGUCAUGCAAGGCAAUAAAAUGGCACAAAUAUAUCGAAGUACGAUAUCAUUUUUGAAAUCCAAAUAUACAUUAUUGGUCGCUAUGGUAAUUUUCUUUUCUGUACCAUUAAUUUUUCCUAUUUUGGACAUUGUUUAUCCUUUAAAUGAAACUCGACCAAGACAACAAUUAUAUAAAGUUAAUUACCUGAUCUUCAACCACGAAGAUUAUUAUUUUUACGUAUACUUUCAAUUAGUUUGGAGCUCAUUUGUUUGUGUGAUAAUCAUAAUUAUUUUUGAUUGGUUGUAUAUUCUUAUAAUUCAUCAUAAUAGUGGAAUGUUUACAGUAUGUGGAUAUCAGAUUCAAAAAAUAUUUACCGAAGAAGCUUUUUCCAAUAUACGUAUAUACGAACAAUUUAAAAAUUGUUUAAUCGUACACAAUGAAGCUAUUCAGUUUUUCGAUAUUUUAGAUGAGAGCAGUCGAAAUACUUAUUUCUUUUUAGUUGGAUCAAAUAUAAUAGGAACAAGCAUGUCAGCUGUACAAAUAGUUUUAAAUUUAGAUAAAUUGGAGGUGGCAAUUAAAAGCACUGUAUUUCUUAUAGCUGCCCAAUUUCAUUUAUUUAUUCUUAGUAUACCUGGACAAAUACUUUUGAAUCAUUAUUCUAAUCUAACAAAUAAUAUAUUUAUGUCCGCAUGGUAUAAUAUGCCAAUAGAAGUUCAAAAAAUGUUUUAUGUGAUGCAAAUAAGAUGUAACAAGCCAUGUUCAUUAACGGCAUGUGGAUUAUACGAAAUGAAUAUGGAGAACUUUGGAACAGCUCUAAAAACGUGCAUGUCAUACAUCACUAUGAUAUUGUCGUUGAAAUAAUAUUAUCCAUGUAAAACAUCAAGUCACAUUCAGAUUUAACAAAAAUUUUUAGAACAAAAUAAAUAUGAUUGUAUAUUGCUAAUAUAGAUGUAUGUAUUGAAUAGUUUAAAUUAUAUUAUUGAAUAUAAGAAUAAAACUAUCAAAUUACAUUUGUUAUAUGUUGUAUUUAAACGAAAGAUUAAAUAUCUUACCAAAACUUCACUUUGUGUCGCAAAUAUAUUCACUGUUUCAAUUAAGAUGAAAGAAUAGACGAUAAAAGCGUUAAGUAGAUCAAAUCAAACAAUUAUCAUUUUUGUAAAGUUACAAUAAGUAUUUAUAUUCUAAAAAUAAUUAUCUUAGAUACUUUCUUUAGUUACAAAAAUUCUUAGUUAGAAGUCGGAUACAAUUGCAUUUACUACAAAAUGUUACAAACAGAAAUACAAAGAUAUUUUUAGAAUUUAUAAGAAUUCAAUACAGUGAUAUGAUAAUCUUCGGUUUAUUAUCGAAUUACUAUCGAACCUUAUUGAAGCUACUAAAUAUAAAUCAAUAUUUCAAGACAAUCAUAUAUCUUAAUUUUAUUGCAUAAACGGAUGCCGUAAAGUUAUUGGAAAAAGAAUUUUCUUAUGUACGAAACAAUUGUUCCCUCGUCUGGAAAAUUAUACUUUAAUCUAUAUGUGUCAAGUAAGUGAAUGAUUCGUAGUCAUUUUCAGUAACAUCAAGUAUCGUGUUCAAUUGCAUUCGUCAGAUUGAUUUUUACAGUUUUAGAAAGAAAAAUACGCAUAGAUUUAGACCACCAUAGAUUCAUUUAAAGACGUUUACUUCAUACUGGUCGUACAAGUUGCAACGUUGCUGUCAUGGAUAAACUUUCAGUAUUUCAGAAAAUU